ACACGACUACAUUAGAUACCCGGGUAGUCCUGGCCGUAAACGAUGUGGACUUGGUGUUGGAAUGGCUCCGAGCUGCUCCAGUGCUGUAGGGUAGCCGUUAAACUCGCUGCCUGGGAGUACGGUCGCAAGGCUGAAACUUAAAGGAAUUGGCGGGGAGCACCACAAGAGGUGGAGGCUGCGGUUCAAUUGGACUCAACGCCGGAAAACUCAUCGGGAGCGACAGCAGUAUGAUCGCCAGGUUGAUGACCUUGCUUGACAAGCUG
Molecule: ribosomal RNA, 263 nt
Filed under: uncultured archaeon
Lineage: Archaea
Description: partial 16S ribosomal RNA
Rfam family: Archaeal small subunit ribosomal RNA
Source: RNAcentral